This 728-nucleotide ribosomal RNA is filed under the name Bacillus wiedmannii. Its description in RNAcentral is "bacterial SSU rRNA". It matches the Rfam family "Bacterial small subunit ribosomal RNA", at positions 755 to 1477 of the family's 1533-position model. Lineage: Bacteria; Bacillati; Bacillota; Bacilli; Caryophanales; Bacillaceae. The record is from RNAcentral.
AAGCGUGGGGGAGCAAAACAGGGAUUAGAUACCCUGGGUAGUCCACGCCCGUAAAACGAUGAGUGGCUAAGUGUUAGAGGGUUUCCGCCCUUUAGUGCUGAAGUUAACGCAUUAAGCACUCCGCCUGGGGAGUACGGCCGCAAGGCUGAAACUCAAAGGAAUUGACGGGGGCCCGCACAAGCGGUGGAGCAUGUGGUUUAAUUCGAAGCAACGCGAAGAACCUUACCAGGUCUUGACAUCCUCUGAAAACCCUAGAGAUAGGGCUUCUCCUUCGGGAGCAGAGUGACAGGUGGUGCAUGGUUGUCGUCAGCUCGUGUCGUGAGAUGUUGGGUUAAGUCCCGCAACGAGCGCAACCCUUGAUCUUAGUUGCCAUCAUUAAGUUGGGCACUCUAAGGUGACUGCCGGUGACAAACCGGAGGAAGGUGGGGAUGACGUCAAAUCAUCAUGCCCCUUAUGACCUGGGCUACACACGUGCUACAAUGGACGGUACAAAGAGCUGCAAGACCGCGAGGUGGAGCUAAUCUCAUAAAACCGUUCUCAGUUCGGAUUGUAGGCUGCAACUCGCCUACAUGAAGCUGGAAUCGCUAGUAAUCGCGGAUCAGCAAGGAGGGGUGAAUACGUUCCCGGGCCUUGUACACACCGCCCGCCUCUCCACGAGAGUUUGUAACACCCGAAGUCGGUGGGGUAACCUUUUGGAGCCAGCCGCCUAAGGUUGAGCAGGGUAAAUG